Molecule: ribosomal RNA, 301 nt
Filed under: uncultured bacterium
Lineage: Bacteria
Description: partial 16S ribosomal RNA
Rfam family: Bacterial small subunit ribosomal RNA
Source: RNAcentral
CAGUAGCCACGGUAAUACGUAGGUGGCAAGCGUUGUCCGGAAUUAUUGGGCGUAAAGGGCUCGCAGGCGGUUUCUUAAGUCUGAUGUGAAAGCCCCCGGCUCAACCGGGGAGGGUCAUUGGAAACUGGGAAACUUGAGUGCAGAAGAGGAGAGUGGAAUUCCACGUGUAGCGGUGAAAUGCGUAGAAAUGUGGAGGAACACCAGUGGCGAAGGCGACUCUCUGGUCUGUAACUGACGCUGAGGAACGAAAGCGUGGGGAGCGAACAGGAUUAGAUACCCCUGUAGUCCCUGUCUCUUAUAC